AGUGAACGCUGGCGGUAGGCCUAACACAUGCAAGUCGAACGGCAGCACAGUAAGAGCUUGCUCUUACGGGUGGCGAGUGGCGGACGGGUGAGGAAUACAUCGGAAUCUACUUUUUCGUGGGGGAUAACGUAGGGAAACUUACGCUAAUACCGCAUACGACCUACGGGUGAAAGCAGGGGAUCUUCGGACCUUGCGCGAUUGAAUGAGCCGAUGUCGGAUUAGCUAGUUGGCGGGGUAAAGGCCCACCAAGGCGACGAUCCGUAGCUGGUCUGAGAGGAUGAUCAGCCACACUGGAACUGAGACACGGUCCAGACUCCUGCGGGAGGCAGCAGUGGGGAAUAUUGGACAAUGGGCGCAAGCCUGAUCCAGCCAUACCGCGUGGGUGAAGAAGGCCUUCGGGCUGUAAAGCCCUUUUGUUGGGAAAGAAAAGCAGCAGGUUAAUACCCCGCUGUUCUGACGGUACCCAAAGAAUAAGCACCGGCUAACUUCGUG
This 492-nucleotide ribosomal RNA is filed under the name uncultured bacterium. RNAcentral describes it as "partial 16S ribosomal RNA". It matches the Rfam family "Bacterial small subunit ribosomal RNA", at positions 29 to 507 of the family's 1533-position model. The record is from RNAcentral.